UGUAUCUGAUGCAUGCAAUGAAGAAUGAAGAAUCGUGUAUAACAACAAUUCAUUUACGUGCUCCAAAUGUUGUGGAGCUUGUUGGCAAUGCACGGGAAACGUUGGGCCGACAUCACGUGAUUAACCACGGUCGUUUCACGUGCUCAACAGUUGUAUUCGCAUCCACGGGUUAUGGAGUUGCUAGGAUUCCACCAUUUACUCCAAUUAACGUGGCAUGAGGGCUUCAACAUUAUAGACUCUGCAGUUGAGCAUGCUAAAUCACUUUUGUUCCCAGGACAAUGAAGAGUUUACGUAAGUUCAUGCACUAUUAUGUACUUAAAAAUGUCACUAGAUAGGGGUUUGCUUGUGUAUGUAAUUUUUUGUACAUCAACGUGUCCCACACUCACAUGGGGUGGGGCCCAAUCGAAUGUGUGGAACACCUUAAUGUAUAAAAAAUUAUGUACAACUAGUGUUAUCCCACUAAAUGUUAGGUCUACAAUACUUUUUGAAUUCCCUCAAAAAGAUUCAUGAGAGGGUACGUAUCGCAUGUAUACAAUUUUCUUAAAUAGGUAGAGAUUUAUCCUGGUUAAUGUAUCAUGGUUUGAUUUUAUUAGGAAUACACAUGGAGAAUUUAAUUUUAUUGAGUUCGUGAUAGAGAUAGCAGCAUAGUCAUUCGUGCAACAAGAAAUUCGGCUUUAGUUAAUGCAAUAAAUGUUGAUUGUUGUACAUGUGGCAAUCAAAAUGAAAAUGGAGAAAAGAGCAUCUCCAAUGAGACAAUGGAUCAGAGAAAUUGUAAGCCUCGUGCACAAUGUGCUAAAGAUUCUCUUGUUUUUUUUUUCUUGUCAUAUAAAUAUUUUGCGGUAAUGUGACGUACUCUUUAGUGUAAUCCACAGUUCCAUUGAAAAUGCUCUUAGAGUUACAGUAUAUUAUUCACUCAUUUACGAGCUUUUAAGUAGCAUUUGAAUUGCUUUUGACAAAUAUUAAUACCAUUUGAUCCGAGUUGUAAGUAAUAUCAAACUUUGAGUGAAUCAAAGGCUCGUGUAAGAAAUUUUGAAAUCCAAUAUUUGCUACAUCUACAUAAUGAAUAAUCUAUUCCAGUGCUUCUUGUCUGUCAGAGACAAUGUUGCAUACAUCGAGACGAUAGUUUGAUGAAAUUAGAUAAGAUCUAGUUGUAUUAUAGAAAGUUAUAUCAAUUAUUCUAUUAAUUAGUUAAGGAUUUCAGAUGGUGGGAGGAAGGGUCAUGCGAUAUUUUCAUUUGAAUUGAAAGAUUUUCAUGUGAAAGUAUGUUCAGGUAUUGUAUUGUUGGUCUGAUCGAGUUACUUUUCUCUACCUAAUUAUUUAUAUUUGAGGUAAUGUGGUUUUUUCCAUUUGAAUUGAAAGAUUUUAAGGUGUUGUAUCACUGAUCAUGUCAUUUUUCUCAUUAGUUAAAGAUUUGAGAUUUGGGCCACCUUCAGGACGAUAAAGGUUGCAUCUUCAAGUCCUCGUGCCGAAAGUACUCGAAGCCUUCGUAAACUCAUUGUCGGGUUCUAUCGUAGUGGAGGUUGCUGUGAGGAGAUCCUUGUGCCAGUGAAGAUUGCUUCCAAUGAUCGGGAAAGCGUUCGAUGAAAUUAAGAAAUACCGGACCAACAGGGCAGUUUUGAUGCCACCAAGGGAUGGAGAGCCCUUGGAGUAUAACCUCUAGCUCAAGGACUGGCCUUCAUCCCCCGCUACCCCUCUUCUUUUAAUGCCUACAGAGAGGUUUAGUUAGCCUUUUCCGCCCAUCCGAAACUAGAGCAAGAAACGCCCUAUUUCGUUUUGUUCCCGUUCUUCAUUUCUUGCUUCUCGAAUCCAAGGGGUACAACUCUUCUUUCCUCCGUUCACUCCUCUCCUAAAGCAGGCAAGGCAACAAGAAAGCUCUUAGCACUUCAGAGUUGGAUGAUUUUCAAGUAAAAAAUUAUUAUUGUGUCAUUGACUGUGUUACUUUUCUCUACCUAAUUAUUUAUAAAAUUAUGCUACUUGUACAUAAAAAUUGUACAUAAGGGAUUACAUAAAAUAAUGUGAAAGAAAAAUAUUGGAUGAAAAGGUUGAUUAUGUUUUAAACUGACAAAUGAUAAAGUGAUAUGUGACAUUAUGUAACUCAUUAUGUAAAGUUUAAUGUACAUGUAGCAAAACCCUUAUUUAUACUAGUUAAAGAUCUGAGAAGCGGGAGGACAAGGGGGUCAUGUGACUUUUCUAUUUGAAUUGGAAGAUUUUUGCUUAAAAAUCUGUAAUUGUAUUCUUGACA
RNAcentral lists this long non-coding RNA (2242 nucleotides) under Olea europaea subsp. europaea. The record is from RNAcentral. Lineage: Eukaryota; Viridiplantae; Streptophyta; Magnoliopsida; Lamiales; Oleaceae.